Molecule: ribosomal RNA, 258 nt
Filed under: uncultured bacterium
Lineage: Bacteria
Description: partial 16S ribosomal RNA
Rfam family: Bacterial small subunit ribosomal RNA
Source: RNAcentral
UACGUAGGGUGCGAGCGUUAAUCGGAAUUACUGGGCGUAAAGCGUGCGCAGGCGGUUUUGUAAGCCAGAUGUGAAAUCCCCGGGCUUAACCUGGGAAUGGCAUUUGGGACUGCAAGGCUGGAGUGCGGCAGAGGAGACUGGAAUUCCUGGUGUAGCAGUGAAAUGCGUAGAUAUCAGGAGGAACACCGAUGGCGAAGGCAGGUCUCUGGGCUGACACUGACGCUCAUGCACGAAAGCGUGGGGAGCAACAGGAUAGAA